GAUCAGCCACACUGGGACUGAGACACGGCCCAGACUCCUACGGGAGGCAGCAGUGGGGAAUCUUGCGCAAUGGGCGAAAGCCUGACGCAGCAACGCCGCGUGAGGGACGAAUGUUCUUUGAAUUGUAAACCUCUUUCAGUAGGGACGAUAAUGACGGUACCUACAGAAGAAGCACCGGCCAACUACGUGCCAGCAGCCGCGGUGAUACGUAGGGUGCAAGCGUUGUCCGGAUUUAUUGGGCGUAAAGGGCUCGUAGGCGGUUCGACAAGUCGGGUGUGAAACCCCCAGGCUCAACCUGGGGACGCCACUCGAAACUGUCGUGACUAGAGUUUGGUAGGGGUCAACGGAACUCCUGGUGUAGCGGUGGAAUGCGCAGAUAUCAGGAAGAACACCAGUAGCGAAGGCGGUUGACUGGGCCAAUACUGACGCUGAGGAGCGAAAGCGUGGGGAGCGAACAGGAUUAGAUACCCUGGUAGUCCACGCCGUAAACGGUGGGCACU
This 500-nucleotide ribosomal RNA is filed under the name uncultured Actinomycetes bacterium. RNAcentral's name for it is "bacterial SSU rRNA". It matches the Rfam family "Bacterial small subunit ribosomal RNA", at positions 302 to 817 of the family's 1533-position model. Lineage: Bacteria; Bacillati; Actinomycetota; Actinomycetes. The record is from RNAcentral.